AUUGAACGCUGGCGGCAGGCCUAACACAUGCAAGUCGAGCGAGCGGCGGACGGGUGAGUAAUGUCUGGGGACUGCCCGAUAGAGGGGGAUCACUACGGGAAACGGUGGCUAAUACCGCAUACUAUCGGAUAACCCAUAUGGGAUUAGCGAGUAGGUGGGGUAAAGUCUCACCUAGGCGACGAUCUCUAGCUGGGCUGCGAGGAUGAUCAGCCACACUGGGACGGAGACACGGCCCAGACUCCUACGGAGGCAGCAGUGGGGAAUAUUGCACAAUGGGCGCAAGCCAGAUGCAGCCAUGCCGAGUGUAUGAAGAAGGCCUUAGGGUUGUAAAGUACUGUCAGAGGGGAGGCGUUACCCGCAGAAGAAGCACCGGCUAACUCCGUGCCAGCAGCCGCGGUAAUUC
RNAcentral lists this ribosomal RNA (403 nucleotides) under uncultured bacterium. Its description in RNAcentral is "partial 16S ribosomal RNA". It matches the Rfam family "Bacterial small subunit ribosomal RNA", at positions 29 to 526 of the family's 1533-position model. The record is from RNAcentral.